CAAACAAAAAUGCAUCUUCACCUCUAUGUGUUUCUUACCACCUUUUGUGUUUCUUGUCCUCUCUUUUUGAAUGUCUUGUCCCCUUUAGAGUAUAGUAUCCCCCUUUUGUCUUGAACUCCUCUUUAGUAUAUAUUAUCCUGCCAUUUUUACCUUUGUUGUCUUUUACUUCCCUCUAGCCUCUUUUGUGUGUAUCUUACUUUGC
This is a non-coding RNA of Pelobates cultripes (western spadefoot toad), 202 nucleotides long. NCBI's taxonomy places the organism in Eukaryota, Metazoa, Chordata, Amphibia, Anura, Pelobatidae. The record is from the annotation of a GenBank genome assembly.